RNAcentral lists this small RNA (388 nucleotides) under Oryza sativa Japonica Group (Japanese rice). RNAcentral's name for it is "sRNA Os06g0537201". Lineage: Eukaryota; Viridiplantae; Streptophyta; Magnoliopsida; Poales; Poaceae. The record is from RNAcentral.
UCUAGUUCUCUAGCUGCUGGUCUCCAAUGGACGAGCUAGGCCCGACGCAAGGUGGAGGCAGAAGACAAGGAAGAGUUCACUCAUCUUUCCCCUCAUUGUUCGCUCGCACUCCCUCUACGCCACAACGCUUCCUCUCCUGUUAAUUGCUGUAGGUGAGCCAACAACAUUGAUGAUGCAACGGCGAAGGUGCGGGUGACUGCUUGAGCAUCGGCAGAGCAGCUAGUUGGCCGCGGCGACGAUAAGCAGCAGUGGAAACCGGUCCUCUUUUCUCUUUUUUUUUUUGUUUUUACUAAACUUUUCUAGAUUCUUCUUUGCCCCAAGAUUUUUUCUUACCAUUUAUCUUAUACUAUGGCUAUGAUACUUUCUCCUUAUAUUAUCGUAGUUUGAA